Molecule: ribosomal RNA, 492 nt
Filed under: uncultured bacterium
Lineage: Bacteria
Description: partial 16S ribosomal RNA
Rfam family: Bacterial small subunit ribosomal RNA
Source: RNAcentral
AGUGAACGCUGGCGGUAGGCCUAACACAUGCAAGUCGAACGGCAGCACAGUAAGAGCUUGCUCUUACGGGUGGCGAGUGGCGGACGGGUGAGGAAUACAUCGGAAUCUACUUUUUCGUGGGGGAUAACGUAGGGAAACUUACGCUAAUACCGCAUACGACCUACGGGUGAAAGCAGGGGAUCUUCGGACCUUGCGCGAUUGAAUGAGCCGAUGUCGGAUUAGCUAGUUGGCGGGGUAAAGGCCCACCAAGGCGACGAUCCGUAGCUGGUCAGAGAGGAUGAUCAGCCACACUGGAACUGAGACACGGUCCAGACUCCUACGGGAGGCAGCAGUGGGGAAUAUUGGACAAAGGGCGCAAGCCUGAUCCAGCCAUACCGCGUGGGUGAAGAAGGCCUUCGGGUUGUAAAGCCCUUUUGUUGGGAAAGAAAAGCAGCAGGUUAAUACCCCGCUGUUCUGACGGUACCCAAAGAAUAAGCACCGGCUAACUUCGUG